AAAUACCAGGUUCUAAGGAGAGAAGAGGGAGCCAUCGGCUGUCCGUGGAAUAGGAAUCACCCCGUAUACCCACUCAACAGGUCUCCCUUUCCCCCGGUCGCGGUGGCCGGGGUCUGGGCGUCCCCGCUGCGGGCCACAGCGCCCCCACGGGGCACUCCGGGGCGGCUGCGGUGCGGCUUGUCCUGCGCAGGGAGCGCGCCCAGCUCUCCCGGCCGGGGUGGCGGGACUUCUCCCGCUGAGGGGUCGGGCAGCGCCUCCCUCCCUCUCCCGCUGUCCUCGGAGGGGUCGAAAGCGCCGGGGCCCCGGGGCGCUGGGGGCCGCAGUGCGGGCCUGGGGAGGGCGCCUGCGCGUCGGGCAGCCAGAGCUCGGUUUGUCUGUCGGUGGGUCGGUCCGCCUGCACCUCGGGGCCGCCCGGCCGCGCAGAGCCGGGGGAAAGCGCGCCGCGCUCACCUGCAGCCGCCGGCGCCUGGGAAGCGAGGCAGGAGCGCAGUCACCCGGGUCUUUCUCGUUGGCCUCUUAGCCUCGCCGAGGGCCGCUGCUCUCCUCGGGAAUCGCUCGUGGGAGGCGAGGACGGAGCCCCAGCCUCUGCCUCUAUCUCCGCCGCCGCCGCCGCCUGCUCCAAGUCCCAUCCCAGAGCGCUCCCCUCGCUCUCUGGCUGCCUGGGAGGCGCUGGGCAAGGGCGGGCGGCUGGGGAGGCGGUGCCGCGGCGAGGGUGGGGAGCUGGCCGGGCGGAAGGAGGGGUGUCCUCUUUGGGGAUGGGGAAGGCGCGGAGAGGGAGCGGCGGCGAGGGCGGCCCUACCCUGCGGGCAGCCCCGGGAGCUGGGCACUCUGGCGGCGCGCCCUGCUUGCUGCCACCUGGCUCCUCUCUGUCCGUGCCUGAGCCCAGGCGGGCAUCGGACUCCAGGGGUCGGGAGCCCCAGGCUCAGAAUACAGGCAGCUUUAGGGGCCUGUCGGGUGGGAGUUCGGGGAGGGGUCUUCCGGGGGAAAGGAGACAUGGCAGGAAUCUUAUAUCUAGAACUUGGGGUCAUGAUCUGCGGGAUGCACCCACUGAUGACGGGGAUGGAGAAAAAAGUGGUGAGAAUUGGGCUAAUUGAUGACAAGCGCCAACAGCUGUCUUGCCGGUGCCCAGAGCACCCCACCAGUGCCAGUUCAUAUUAA
RNAcentral lists this long non-coding RNA (1158 nucleotides) under Papio anubis (olive baboon). Its description in RNAcentral is "lncRNA (ENSPANG00000041979.1)". Lineage: Eukaryota; Metazoa; Chordata; Mammalia; Primates; Cercopithecidae. The record is from RNAcentral.